Bos taurus (domestic cattle) is the source of this 69-nucleotide non-coding RNA. The record is from Rfam. NCBI's taxonomy places the organism in Eukaryota, Metazoa, Chordata, Mammalia, Artiodactyla, Bovidae.
UCCUGGUAGCUUAGACAGUAGAGUCUGCCUGCAAUGCAGGAGACCCAGGUUCGAUCCCUGGGUCAGGAA